Long non-coding RNA from Armigeres subalbatus, 299 nucleotides. RefSeq lists it as uncharacterized. NCBI's taxonomy places the organism in Eukaryota, Metazoa, Arthropoda, Insecta, Diptera, Culicidae. The record is from RefSeq and is a predicted model, not a curated record. The transcript is spliced from 3 exons.
UACCCAUAUUUGGGUGAAAAAAAAUUAUUGUACACCUUUUUGUUUACCGAAAAUGUUUUCUGCAAAAUGAAAUGUCCAAAUAUUUAUUAAUUAAAUUAUUAAAUAUUUCGGUCGACUUGCUGAUCGUAAUAAUGGUACCAAAACAAGUCAAAUAGAGCGAUGGAUCAAGCAGUACCUUCCGAGCGACCAGUUUAUUAACAACCGGACCUGCUGCAUGAACAGCCGCGAAAAUGAAUACCUCCAACUAUGUGGCAUACAAAUCAUGUCGGAUCCGCCGCUACAACCUCCGCGAAAAUGAG